GUCUACAAUCGAGUUUUCAUUGACAAGUGACAACCUAUAAUUAGUUUUAUUUUUAUUCGUUUUCUCAAUUGUUUUGUUGAAAAUAAUUUUGCCGGUUCAUAAAUCUUUAAAAAAAUAAAAUAAAAUGACUAAAUUGGAAAUCUAGUAAGUGAGGAUCAGCUUAUCUCGCUGAUUAGCUGUCGCUAAUGUCCACUGCAGAUGAAGACAUUUCUUGGUGAUAUUGCUGAGCGCAACCGACAUCAGCUAUUUGAACACUGGAAUUUUCGACGGAUCAUUAUUGAACUCCCUGUAUAAAGGAUUUUUAUUUACUAAAUAUAUAUGGCAAAGAAAUAAAAAAUACAUAUAUGUUUAAACUUA
This is a long non-coding RNA of Stomoxys calcitrans (stable fly), 357 nucleotides long. RefSeq lists it as uncharacterized. The transcript has 2 exons. The record is from RefSeq and is a predicted model, not a curated record. Lineage: Eukaryota; Metazoa; Arthropoda; Insecta; Diptera; Muscidae.